AGUAGUGUUACUGACGCUCAUGCUCGAAAGCGCGGGUAUCGAACAGGAUUAGAUACCCUGGUAGUCCGCGCGGUAAACGAUGGAUGCCCGCUGUUGGCGAGAGAAUGUCAGCGGCCAAGCGAAAGCAUUAAGCAUCCCACCUGGGGAGUACGCCGGCAACGGUGAAACUCAAAGGAAUUGACGGGGGCCCGCACAAGCGGAGGAACAUGUGGUUUAAUUCGAUGAUACGCGAGGAACCUUACCCGGGCUUGAACUGACGGAGAACGAUCCAGAGAUGGUGAGGCCCUUCGGGGCUCCGUUGGAGGUGCUGCAUGGUUGUCGUCAGCUCGUGCCGUGAGGUGUCGGCUUAAGUGCCAUAACGAGCGCAACCCCUGUCGUCAGUUGCCAUCAGGUAAAGCUGGGCACUCUGGUGAUACUGCCACCGCAAGGUGUGAGGAAGGUGGGGAUGACGUCAAAUCAGCACGGCCCUUACGUCCGGGGCUACACACGUGUUACAAUGGCGCGCACAGAGAGCCGGUGCAUGGCGACAUGCAUCCAAUCAAGAAACCGAUGUCGUAGUUCGGAUUGGGGUCUGCAACCCGACCCCAUGAAGCUGGAUUCG
RNAcentral lists this ribosomal RNA (601 nucleotides) under uncultured bacterium. RNAcentral's name for it is "bacterial SSU rRNA". It matches the Rfam family "Bacterial small subunit ribosomal RNA", at positions 730 to 1334 of the family's 1533-position model. The record is from RNAcentral.